Molecule: ribosomal RNA, 466 nt
Filed under: uncultured bacterium
Lineage: Bacteria
Description: partial 16S ribosomal RNA
Rfam family: Bacterial small subunit ribosomal RNA
Source: RNAcentral
GAUGAACGCUGGCGGCGUGCUUAACACAUGCAAGUCGAACGGAAAGGCUCCUGCCUGCAGGGGUACUCGAGUGGCGAACGGGUGAGUAACACGUGGGUAAUCUGCCCUGUACUUCGGGAUAAGCUUGGGAAACUGGGUCUAAUACCGGAUAUGACAAUCUCUUGGAUGGGGUUGUGGAAAGCUUUUGCGGUAUGGGAUGAGCUCGCGGCCUAUCAGCUUGUUGGUGGGGUAAUGGCCUACCAAGGCGUCGACGGGUAGCCGGCCUGAGAGGGUGUACGGCCACAUUGGGACUGAGAUACGGCCCAGACUCCUACGGGAGGCAGCAGUGGGGAAUAUUGCACAAUGGGCGCAAGCCUGAUGCAGCGACGCCGCGUGGGGGAUGACGGCCUUCGGGUUGUAAACUCCUUUCGCAACCGACGAAGCUUUUGUGAGGGUAGGUUGAGAAGAAGCACCGGCUAACUACGUG